Molecule: ribosomal RNA, 253 nt
Filed under: uncultured bacterium
Lineage: Bacteria
Description: partial 16S ribosomal RNA
Rfam family: Bacterial small subunit ribosomal RNA
Source: RNAcentral
UACGAAGGGGGCUAGCGUUGUUCGGAAUUACUGGGCGUAAAGCGCGUGUAGGCGGGUCUUUAAGUCAGGGGUGAAAUGCCAGGGCUCAACCUUGGAACUGCCUUUGAUACUGGAGACCUUGAGUCCGGGAGAGGUGAGUGGAAUUGCGAGUGUAGAGGUGAAAUUCGUAGAUAUUCGCAAGAACACCAGUGGCGAAGGCGGCUCACUGGCUCGUAACUGACGCUCAGGCGCGACAGCGUGGGGAUCAAACAGG